AGCAGUCGCCACGGUAAUACAGAGGGUGCAAGCGUUAAUCGGAAUUACUGGGCGUAAAGCGCGCGUAGGUGGUUUGUUAAGUUGGAUGUGAAAUCCCGGGCUCAACCUGGGAACUGCAUCCAAAACUGGCAAGCUAGAGUAUGGUAGAGGGUGGUGGAAUUUCCUGUGUAGCGGUGAAAUGCGUAGAUAUAGGAAGGAACACCAGUGGCGAAGGCGACCACCUGGACUGAUACUGACACUGAGGUACGAAAGCAUGGGGAGCAAACAGGAUUAGAUACCCCUGUAGUCCCUGUCUCUUAUACC
RNAcentral lists this ribosomal RNA (303 nucleotides) under uncultured bacterium. Its description in RNAcentral is "partial 16S ribosomal RNA". It matches the Rfam family "Bacterial small subunit ribosomal RNA", at positions 507 to 808 of the family's 1533-position model. The record is from RNAcentral.